This 76-nucleotide transfer RNA is filed under the name Ktedonobacter sp. 13_1_20CM_3_54_15. Its description in RNAcentral is "tRNA-Ala". It matches the Rfam family "tRNA". From Rfam's summary of the family: Transfer RNA (tRNA) molecules are approximately 80 nucleotides in length. Their secondary structure includes four short double-helical elements and three loops (D, anti-codon, and T loops). Lineage: Bacteria; Bacillati; Chloroflexota; Ktedonobacteria; Ktedonobacterales; Ktedonobacteraceae. RNAcentral also lists the same sequence under 4 other names. The record is from RNAcentral.
GGGGACGUAGCUUAGUUGGAAGAGCGCCGCCUUUGCACGGCGGAGGUCAGGGGUUCGAAUCCCCUCGUCUCCACCA